GAUGAACGCUGGCGGCGUGCCUAAUACAUGCAAGUCGAGCGAACAGACGAGGAGCUUGCUCCUCUGAUUUUAACUGCGGACGGGUGAGUAACCCGUGGAUAACCUAACUAUUAGACUAGCAUCCCUUCGGGAAACCGUAGCUACUACCGGAUAACAUGUUGAACCGCUUGGUUCUACAGUGAAAGUCGGUCUUGCUUUCACUUAUCGAUGGAUCCGCGCCGCAUUAGCUAGUUGGUAAGGUAACGGCUUACCACGGCAACGAUGCGAAGCCGACCGGAGCGGGUGGUCGGCCACACGGGAAGGGAGGCACGGUGCAGACACCUAAGGGAGGAAGCAGUAGGGAAUCUUCCGCAAUGGGCGAAAGCCGGACGGAGCAACGCCGCGUGAGUGAAGAAGGAGUGCGGAGCGGAAAGCUCUGUUAUUAGGGAAGAACAAAUGUGUAAGUAACUAUGCACGUCUUGACGGUACCUAAGCAGAAAGCCACGGCUAACUACGUG
RNAcentral lists this ribosomal RNA (497 nucleotides) under uncultured bacterium. RNAcentral's name for it is "partial 16S ribosomal RNA". It matches the Rfam family "Bacterial small subunit ribosomal RNA", at positions 28 to 507 of the family's 1533-position model. The record is from RNAcentral.